GGGCGAGGCCGGGCACUCUGGAGGGACUGCCGGCGACAAGCCGGAGGAAGGGUGGGGAUGACGUCAAGUCAUCAUCGGCCCUUAUGUCCGAGGGCGACACACGUGCUAACAAUGGCCGGCACAGGCGGGAAGCGGAGGGGCGACCCUGAGCGGAUCCCUUGAAAGCCGGUCCCAGUUCGGAUUGCAGUCUGCAACUCGACUGCAUGAAGUUGGAAUCGCUAGUAAUCGCGGAUCAGCCAAGCCGCGGUGAAUACGUUCCCGGGCCUU
This 267-nucleotide ribosomal RNA is filed under the name uncultured Thermovirga sp. RNAcentral's name for it is "partial 16S ribosomal RNA". It matches the Rfam family "Bacterial small subunit ribosomal RNA", at positions 1123 to 1382 of the family's 1533-position model. The record is from RNAcentral. Lineage: Bacteria; Thermotogati; Synergistota; Synergistia; Synergistales; Thermovirgaceae.